RNAcentral lists this ribosomal RNA (497 nucleotides) under uncultured bacterium. RNAcentral's name for it is "partial 16S ribosomal RNA". It matches the Rfam family "Bacterial small subunit ribosomal RNA", at positions 28 to 507 of the family's 1533-position model. The record is from RNAcentral.
GAUGAACGCUGGCGGCGUGCCUAAUACAUGCAAGUCGAGCGAACAGACGAGGAGCUUGCUCCUCUGACGUUAGCGGCGGACGGGUGAGUAACACGUGGAUAACCUACCUAUCAGACUGGGAUAACUUCGGGAAACCGGAGCUAAUACCGGAUAAUAUAUUGAACCGCAUGGUUCAAUAGUGAAAGACGGUUUUGCUGUCACUUAUAGAUGGAUCCGCGCCGCAUUAGCUAGUUGGUAAGGUAACGGCUUACCAAGGCAACGAUGCGUAGCCGACCUGAGAGGGUGAUCGGCCACACUGGAACUGAGACGCGGUCCAGACUCCUACGGGAGGCAGCAGUAGGGAAUCUUCCGCAAUGGGCGAAAGCCUGACGGAGCAACGCCGCGUGAGUGAUGAAGGUCUUCGGAUCGUAAAACUCUGUUAUUAGGGAAGAACAAAUGUGUAAGUAACUAUGCACGUCUUGACGGUACCUAAUCAGAAAGCCACGGCUAACUACGUG